UCUAGAGGCCAUGUUUUUCAUGGAAUCUGUAUGAAAGUUGGUCUGAAUAUUUAUCUUGAUGAUAUAUAGGUCAAGUUUCAAACUGGGUCAACUGCGAUCAAAAACUAGGUCAGUAGGUCUUGAAAUAGAAAAACCUUGUGACCUCUCUAGAGGCUAUACCCUUGAAUGGAUCUUCAUGAAAAUUUAUCAGAAUGUUCACCUUGAUGAUAUCUAGGUCAAGUUUGAAACUGGGUCACAUGCCUUAAAAAACUAGGUCGGUAGGUCAAAUAAUAAAAAAACCUUGUGACCUCUCUAGAGGCCAUACUUUUUCAUGGGAUCUGUAUGAAAAUUGGUCUGAAUGUUCAUCUUGAUGAUAUCUAGGUCAGUUUUGAAACUGGGUCAACUGAGGUCAAAAACUAGGUCAGUAGGUCUAAAAUUAGAAAAAUCUUUUGACAUCUCUAGAGGCCAUUAUUUCAAUGGAUCUUCAUGAAAAUUGAUCUGAAUGUUCACCUUGAUGAUAUCUAGGUCAUUUUCGAAACUGGGUCACAUGCGGUCAAAAACUAGGUCAGUAGGUAACGUGGGUCACGUGCUAUCAAAAACUAGGUCAGUAGGUCAAAUUAUAGGAAAACCUUGUGACCUCUCUAAAGGCCAUAUUUUUCAUGGGAUCUGUAUGAAAGUUGGUCUGAAUGUUUAUCUUGAUGAUAUCUAGGUCAUUUUCGAAACUGGGUCACGUGCGGUCAAAAACUAGGCCAGUAGGUAUAAAAAUAAAAAAACUUUGUGACCUCUCUAGAGGCCAUUUUUUCCAUGAGAUCUUCAUGAAAAUUAGUGAGAAUGUUCAACUUGAUGAUAUCUAGGUAAAGUUCAAAACAGGGUCACGUACCUUUGAAAACUAGGUCAAUAGGUCAAAUAAUAGAAAAACCUUGUGACCUCUCUAGAGACCAUAUUUUUCAAUGGAUCUUCAUGAAAAUUGGUCAGAAUUGUUAUCUUGAAAAUAUCUAGGUCAAGUUCAAAACUGGGUCACAUGAGCUCAAAAACUAGGUCACUAUGUCAUAUAAUAGGAAAAACGACAUCAUACACAAAACUGCGUCAUGUGGGAAGAGGUGAGUGAUUCAGCACCAUCAUGGUCCUCUUGUAUAUUUUCUGAGCUAUUGUAUAACUGUGUCAGAAAUUUGUGAGCAUUGAAUAUUUUUGUCUCUAAUCCUGUGUCAUGAACCAUUCAUCAAUUUUUUUGUCAAACUGCAACUGAUCAGCACACCCAUUUUACUUGCACAGCAAAUGCUUGUGUUUAUAAAAGUUGUUUUAGGAUGUGUGACUGCUACUGUUUCAGAUAAAUGAGCCGCACCAUGAGAAAAACAACAUAGUGCAUUUGGGACCAGCAUGGAUCCAGUCCAGCCUGCGCAUCCGCGCAGUCUGGUCAGGAUCCAUGCUGUUCGCUAACGGUUUCUCUAAUUGCAAUAGACUUUGAAAGCAGACAGCAUGGAUGCUGACCAGACUGCGCAGAUGCGCAGGCUGGUCUGGAUCCAUGCUGGUCGCAAAUGCACUAUGUUGGUUUUCUCAUGGCGCAGCUCAAAUUUAAAUACCAACAAAUUUGAUCUUACGCCAGAUUUCUUGUAAAUCCUGUUACUGAUUAUAUCUAAGUUUAUGAACACUUUGGACAUUUUAUUUACAAUGUUGAUAAGUAAGUAAUUUAUUUAAAUGUAUUCAAUGCCUAACUUUCACUUAAAUAUUUAAUCUUAAGGUAUUUACCAUUAAGUGUAUUUAACUUUACACAAUAUAUACAAAUUAAUUGUGCGUGUAGAGCUACGUUCAUAAUUGAGUGACAUGCGGUAACAGUCAUUUGAACACUUCCUGUUGUUUUUUUUUUUUUAGUGGUAGUAAACAUUUAUACUGUGUUUGGUUUUACAUGUGUUAAGUUUGUACUUUGAACCUAAUGCAUGUUACUUCAUGUUGAUUUUUUGUUGAUAUAAACUGUAAUUCUGUAGAAAAUUAUUCAUCUUUUUAAAUUUGACAUUUGGGUCUAGUAUCCCUUUAAUUUUUGUGAUGAUUUGUUAUAAACUUAUAAUGUUUUAACAUGAUAAACAGUUACAUUUCUAGUCAGACUCUGGAUGUACUUUAGCAGCAGUAUCAGCAUCCCCCUCUUGUAGUUUCGUUUUAUUAUAUACUCUAAAUAAAUUGUUACCCUGGGAUAUGAAACCAGAAUUUCAGUUUUAUUUGGUGCCAUAUCUUCUGUAACCUUGUUGAUGCACUAAAAACCCAAAUUAGAUGAAUUUUUCUAUAAUAAUGUUUUGUGACUUUUUUUUAGACUUUGUCAUGUGUUUUAAUGAUAUUUUUGAUCUGUAGAUAUUGUACUUAAUAAACUUAACAAGCCUUAUAUCUUGCACUGCCUUAUAAUGUUCACAUUUACUUAAUAUGAAGGAGCUUACUUUGUAACCAUACUUAUACCCUGCAAAAAAAAAAAAUGUCAUUGUAAAGAGCAUAUAUUGUGGGUAGUGUGGGGAAUAAGUAAAAAUUUCCAUGUUGAUAAGUUGACAAAAAAUGGCCUGAUCAUUUAUGAAUCAUGAUGAAAAUUAGGUAUAUGAAUUAUGUCCAAAAGAAGUUUUAAACUCGAUUUUGGGCUAUGAAAAGUGUUUCGCUUAUUUUGAGUACAGUGCCUACAUAUGGUCCUUUUUUCUCACAAAAAAAAGUCAAAUAAACUAUUUUUCAAACGCAUUUAAGAUAGUUAAGAGAGACAGUUUUGCCCACUGAACAUUUAUAUAACACAUAGUUAGUCCCCUUUCUGAACCCAAGACAGUUUCACGGUUAUAGAGUUGCUGUUUGUCAUCAGUCUAUAUGCAUUUUUUGUGUGUGCUUAUUUCACUGCCAUCCAUCGAGGAAUUUUCAUAUAACAUGGCACAAAUAUUUCCUAUAAUAAGACAUGUAUUAUGCAACACCCUUAGCCCAAAGGUCAUGGUCACAUUAGUAGGUUAUGGUCAACAUUGUUUUUUUCCCAGUCGGCUGCAUAGCACGUCCAUCCAUCAAUGAUAUGCAUGGAUACUUAAACAGUUAUUCAUAAACAUUUGACAUAACAAGCUGAUGUGUUUACAUUUUAUCAAAAAGACAAUAGAAAUGGACUGUUUCAUAUUGUUGAAAUGAGGGUAAAUAAAUUUAUUUACCCAUAGAAAUGUUUGACAUGGGCUAUAAAUGGUGAAAUAGACGGACAGCACAAGAGUGUUCCUUGGUUCUGAUUUUUCAGGUGGUCAAAACUAUCAACUAUUCUGCUUUAAUCAGGAUAAAAAGAAUACAACAUACAAGUUUAGUAAAUUGAUUAAUUAAGCUAUCAGUUAACAAAAAAUAUAAUUUAAAUUUUUAGUUACUGUGCCUACAUUUUGCAUUAAAAUUUACUGUGUAUAUAGCAUUCUGUUGUACAUGUACAUUAUCAUUGAAAAAUAUCAGGUCAUUAGGUUUUGCUGCAGUUAAGAUCAAUAGUUCCCUUCUUAAAGGAAAGACUGUUUUGCAUGGCAAUACUUUAUUCACUUUGGCAUACUUUAGGGGCACUGCGAGGCUGUCAUUAUUCAUCAGCAAGAGAAAACUUCACUGACGAUAACAUCAUGGACAGUUUAUUCAUGAUUUAUCAACAUAUGUCACAAGCAGCAUAUUACUAAUUGCAGGUCAGUCCAUUUAAACAAUUCAGGUGAAACUAUUUCCAGACAAGAAAUCACAGGGUCAUAAGUUUGAUCCUGUUCUCCAUGAUGAUUGAUAGACGACAUUGUUUCUGAAAUCAUUUGUCCUGCAUCUCAAAUUCUUGUGGGGAAGUUUGGAGAACAGGUUAGUACUGGUACAGAACCCAGGAAAUCUGGUUAGGGUAACUGCCUGCUUUUAUUUGACCGAAAUACUGUUUAAAAAUGGUGCUUUACCCAAAGCAAACAAACAGAUCCAGACAUGUAAAGGGUUUCUAAUAGAAAUUCAUACAAAUGACCUCAAUGAUGGUAGUAGAUAUGUAUAGCAUUUUGUUUUUUGAUCAUUCAAAGCAUUGCUAAGUUCUUAUUUGCGGCUUCUUAAUUUUCAGUAUAAUAACUAUGUUGCUAAAACUUAUCUACAGUUCCACUGCUUUUGCGAAAUAACUUUACGUCCUUGCACAUCAUGUACUAGGGUUGGAUAUUGUGUGCUGUUGGUUUUUGUUUUGAAUAUAGUUAGCCUUGUUGAAGGAAACUGCCUUUUGUUAACAAUAUGCAAGAAGGUUUUAGUGCUGUAUUAUUUCCUUUGUAAUUAACUUUUUCAGUGUACAAGAUGGCUAAUGUUCAAUAUCUAUGUAAUACAGUUAUAUUAUGUUUAACAUUCUGAUAAGUCUUGUAUAAGUAGAACUUUUAUAUCUUCUUUUGCAUGGCUAGUGUGUGAUUACUGCUUAGAAUUCUAGAUAGCAGGAGUAUUUGCAUUUCUUGAUUUUCAUUUUGAAUUUUUGAUGAACAUAUUUCAGCCUUAAGAUGUAAGUGUGACAUUGUUAUACUGCAAGGUCUAUUGGAGUCGGUCUGUUGUAAAAUGUUUAUGGAGCGAAAUACUCCUACAUAUUUAAGAGGUUGAAUGAAGCUCCAUACACAUGAUCACCAUGAAGUGUACAUGUAUGUGACUUUUUUUUGGAUUGACAAAGGUGCGUGCAUCACUUCAGGUUUGUGGUGUGAACUUCUUCCACAGUUCUAAACAGAACAAAAUGAAAAUUCAAGUCACCAAAAAGUGAAGAUAAUUUUAAUACCAAAUUUAGUAUAACUGGCAUAUUCUUUAUUGGUGCACCGUAAAACCCAAAUAAAUAGAUAAAUAAAAUUAUGAGGAUUGGGAACCCAUAUCAGCCCCCCUCUCCCUAUCCCUAAAAAUGAAAAAAACUUUUAUGUAUUAAAUCUUCAUCUAAUCAUUUUUACAUUUUUAAGAAGACAAAAUGUCUUCUUUAUUUUAAUAGAGCAGUAUUCAGAGGUGUUAAUCGCAUUAAAUGAUAGCUGUAGCUAAAAUUGUUGGCAUGAAAUCACAUGGUUUCAGUCUAAAUGGCUGUUUCAUGGGAGGCAUGAAUCCAAAAUUGUAAAUUAAAGAAUGAAAAAAUCGUGGGGAUUUCAUUUAUUUGAUGGGAUUUAAUUUUGUGGAUAUUACUGUGAAGUCAUUUAAUUCACAGUAUUAUUUCUGCCAAGUAAUUAUCAGGAAAAUUAUUCCCUUGUGAAUAAUUAUGUUUUUAUCAUAAAGUGACAUCACACAAUCGAUAUGAAAUUAGGUGUUGGUGGAAUCAGUUGAUGUUAAAGGUUUAUUUUUUACUUCCAAUAGUUUAAAAUAUGGGGGUGUAAUAGCACAUAUAUUUGUGUACUGGACCUGUAAAAUAUCAACAAAUUAUGUAUUUUCCGUAUGCAAUUUCAAAAUUCUUCAGAGUUUAGCUCGACAAUAGGAAGUAUUUGGAGAGCUAUCCUACUUGACCUGGUGUAAAAAUUUGAUGUACUUUCAUUUCUAUUAUUACGGAAUGGAUUUGCUUCAAACUUAAAAUAGUUGUUCCUUAUCAUAAUCACACAUCAUAUGUUACAAGGGUCAUAUCUCUAGCAAUUAUAUUUGGAUCCCUUUUUACAUAGAAUGUUUUUUGCACUUUCACUCUUAUCUUUGUUAUUUUUGAAUGGAUUUGUUUCAAACAUCAGAUGGGCCAAGAGUCAUAACUCCUGCACCAAUUCUUCAUGAAUUAUGACCCCUUUUUACUUAGAAUUUAAGGUUAGUUUCAAUAAACUUGCACUGUAUCUUUGUUAUUGCUUGAUUCAUUGGAUUCAAAUUUAAAAUAGUCCUUACACAGCAUUGUCCUCAUCAUAUGGUACAAGAUCCAUAACUGGCACAAAUAUUUCAUGAAUUAUAUACUCGGUCAUCUUACAAUUUCAGUUUAAUUUUGAUGCUUUUCCACCAUAUCUUUAUUGUUACUAAAUGGAUUUGAUUCAGACUUGAACUUUUUGUCCAACAUCUCCAAGCACAUCAUAUGACACCAGGUGCAUAUCUCUUGCACCAAUAAUAUAUGAAUUAUGUCCCCUUUUUACUUAGAAUUUCAGGUUAUAAUUAUUAUGCACUUUUGCUCUGUUUCAGUCACUACUAAAUGGAUUUGAUUCAAACUUAAAAUAGUUAUUCCCCCUUAUUAGCCAUGUUCCUUAUUAUUAGCCACAUGAUAUGACACAUGGUGCAUUAUCCUUGCAAAAAUAUUCCAUUGAUUAUGCCCCUUUUAUACUUAAUUAAUGUUAUGAUACACUUUCUCUAUAUAUCUGUUAUUACUAAAAACAUAUGACUCAGACUUAAUCUAUUGUCCAAUAUCAUCAUCUGCAUUGGAGUUAAUAAACACUCCAGUAAUAGCUCCAGAUUCCUCACUACCCAGCAUGGAAAUAGUUGAGCUUGCUGUCUCCUGCAACAGCUCUUGAUCUAUAGAUUUCAGUAAUUUAUGAAACGUUUACAAAACUUUAGUUAAGGAAUCGGACAGACCCCCUCCCCGAUCAUUUUUCAUCAUCAAGUUUGGUUCAAAUAAGUUGUAAGAAGUACAAAUGAUGUAAUAUAGAUAUAUAUAUAUAAAGUAAUUAUUUAUUACUUAUGGUUAAUUGGUUUUUAAGGUCAAGGAAAUUGGCUUUAGCAAGAAAAUGUUUUUUGAUCAUUAACUGUACCCUCUUAUUAACAGACCCUGAUAGGUUUUUAAACAGUACUGUUGAGGAACCAUAAUGUUUCAAGGCCAAAGUGGGCUUUAGCUGGAGAGUGCUUUUGGUCACUAACUGGAAAACUGCUGGGUCUACAUAACUAUAUGAAAUUUUAUAGGAUGUUUGCAUGUAUAUGCAGGGACCCUUUCAAAUCAUGAUCCAAACACCAGUUUGUGAUCAUUAUCUUGAGGAUUGACCAUAUGUCAAGGUCAUACUAACCUGACCUUUUUGUAAUCCGUAACUAGAGAGUCCUUGAGCUUACAGAUAUUAAACUUCAUUGUAAGAACUCUUGUGAGUUAUGAAACACUCAAGACUGUUUCAAAUGACCCUGUAUAGUUUUGUGUCACCAAGAUAUUGAUCAGUAGACAACUGCUAUAUUGACUUAAGGUUAAGUCAGUGAAAGGUCAAGGUCACAGUGACCUUAAGCUUGAAAAUGGUAUUUGAUCUGUAACUGAUAAAUAAAGUACAUGUAGCUUAAAUACACGAAUCUUCAUAUCAUAUUGAUAGUAAAUGUUUUCAAAUUAUCACUGUUUAUUACAAAUCAAUUGUUCAAAAAGCAAAUUUAUUAUUCUGCAUGCUUAAUAAAUGGUCUGCAUGUAAGAUUCAUAGGUCAUUAGAUUUGUAUUGAGAAAUAUGCAUGAGUUCUGCAGUGGGGAUGUUGGCCAACUUUAGGAGCAACUGUGCUUUCUGUAAAAUAAUUAAUAUUUGUAGGGAACUACUUUCCUUGGUCAAGUCAGUCUGCAUAAUUGUAUCCAAACAAACAAACUAGUAAAAGACUCAGCGGUUGAUUACCAUAAUAAGAUUAUUACAUCUCAUUCAGUGACUAUUUAACUAUAUUUCAUUUGCGAAAAGUUCUUUUUCUAUAGUGUAAUUUUGUAUAGAAACAAUUGUUUUGAGAUUGAUUUCAGACCAUUAUGGUCCUUUUGUUGAUUUUUUAGUGUAUUCAGUUUAAGAUUUUGUGUCAGAUUUUAAUUUGUUUAUGCUGUUUUGUAUCAGUUUGUAAAGACGGUGUGUUUGAUGUUAAUGCUAGUGGUGGAUGUCCUUAUUUAAGCCAUCUUUGCUAUAUACAUCUCUACUGCGUAUAACUGCUUCUACAUUAUAAGCUUAAUUCAGUAAAAAUAAAAUAUAGUCAUAAAUACAA
Molecule: long non-coding RNA, 7782 nt
Organism: Mercenaria mercenaria
Lineage: Eukaryota; Metazoa; Mollusca; Bivalvia; Venerida; Veneridae
Exons: 2
Source: RefSeq, a predicted model, not a curated record